Molecule: long non-coding RNA, 1732 nt
Organism: Daucus carota subsp. sativus
Lineage: Eukaryota; Viridiplantae; Streptophyta; Magnoliopsida; Apiales; Apiaceae
Exons: 4
Source: RefSeq, a predicted model, not a curated record
GUGUGACUACAGGAAAUAGGUAUCUUGGACAAGGCCGACCAUCACCCUUAUAUAAAAGCUUGAGUUUAGAAAACUUGUGUGAGGAACAAACAGUGAAAGUGAGUCAUUUAAAGUAUCGAUAAUAACUGGCUCUUCAAGAGGAAUUUUAAGAGGAUCUAGCCAUGAAAAAAAAUUGAAUUGUUCAUCUUCAAUGUCAAAUGACACUACUUCUUUGGAAAGUCUAUCUUCAAUACCGGCAGAAUAAGUAACCCAAUGAAAUGCCUAUUUUAAAGGUCGGAUGAAAUAAGGAGUAGAGAUACCAAAAAGUAUCACCGGAUCACUGAAAUGAGGGGCACUUGAUCACGCUCAUGACAUGGAAGAGUUGUUACCUCAUCAUGUGCACUACCACAAUUAGGAUAUUGGACAAAUGAUCUUCCUAUAAUGACAACAUAUGAGAGCGAUUUUUUUUAUGACCCUAAAAUCCAAGAACAGAAGAACACUCCAGUUUUUUGUAUUUCACAACAUUCUGCAUUUAUGUUGAAACUUUGGAAACAGUCACCUGGGAUUUUGAAUAUGCAGGAAUGGCUGUUCAGUGAUAAGAUAUUGCCGAGAUAAUGCUCAUCAGAAGAGAGUGACUGGCCUUGCCUAUUCUAGUGCAUUAAAUAUCCUUUUAUCAUCUGGAUAAGAUGCUCAGGUAAAAUUUCAAAGUGGAAGGCUAAUAGAAGAUAUCAGAUGCAUGGGCACAUUUCUGUCAAGUGUCACCAGGACCAAAGACAUUUGUUGGUUGUACAUGAAAGUUGUAUAGCCACUCGAUCCUGAGGGACCUAAUCUCGAGCCCUGCAAGCAGUAGAUUCCGGGGGAAUUGAUCAGUGAUGCUGCAUAUAUAUUCCUGUGAUGACCAGUCCAUAUAUGCCUGCUUUCUUAACAGGCACAUUGUUUUCUUGGACUCGGCAUCUUUGACCAUAAAAUUUUUUAUCAAUCCGAGUGCAUAUUUUACCUUCUAAUUAAAGCCGGGUGAUGUAUGCUUCUACUCUUGCGGCUAAUCCUACAAAACACAAUCAGUUUGCUCUCGGGCUUAGUUAUGGUGGCGUACUAGUUAUAGAACUUGAGGAAGAGGAUAUUGGGGUUGGCAUUGUAGCACGCCUUAGCUUGAGACCAGCAACAACUGAGAACUUGAUAUGAGUUUUUGUUGUUGGAUAGUUGAUUCAAAUAUUAGUAGCUAUUAUUAAGCAGCAUGUGUAUGUUUUAUCAGUUAAAUAAAAGGAUAGACAUGUAGUAGUAUGUGGCAGUUACUGGAAGUUUAUUUAGGAAGUUAAGAAUAGGGUAGUUUCUUUGCCUAGUUAGUUAUCUAUUUCAAUCUGCAUAUUUAUGUGCAAUGCUGUGUAUUCAGUUUAGUUAAUGAGAGUUAUCUAUGUUCUUGUGUCUCUCAUAUUCUGAACGUGGUACAGCAAGAUUGAUGCAUUCUUUCAUGAAAGCGGUUUCAUUAGAAGUGAGAAUGAACCUACACUAUACAUGAAACGUCAAAGUGAUGGAGAAUUUCUGGUGGUUUGCUUAUAUGUUGAUGAUAUGAUAUAUAUGGGUUCCUGCGAGUCAAUUAUCAAUGAGUUCAGGUCAAGUAUGAUGGCUAAGUUUGAGAUGACUGAUUUGGGUCUCCUUCAAUAUUUUUUGGGUCUUGAAGUGAAGCAAAAUGAAGAAGGAAUUUUUGUUUGUCAGAAAAAAUUUGCUACUGAUUUGUUGAAGAAAUUUAAUAUGA